GACGAACGCUGGCGGCGUGCUUAACACAUGCAAGUCGAACGGAAAGGCCCUGCUUUUGUGGGGUGCUCGAGUGGCGAACGGGUGAGUAACACCUGAGUAACCUGCCCUUGACUUUGGGAUAACUUCAGGUAACUGGGGCUAAUACCGGAUAGGAGCUCCUGCUGCAUGGUGGGGGUUGGAAAGUUUCGGCGGUUGGGGAUGGACUCGCGGCUUAUCAGCUUGUUGGUGGGGUAGUGGCUUACCAAGGCUUUGACGGGUAGCCGGCCUGAGAGGGUGACCGGCCACAUUGGGACUGAGAUACGGCCCAGACUCCUACGGGAGGCAGCAGUGGGGAAUAUUGCACAAUGGGCGGAAGCCUGAUGCAGCAACGCCGCGUGCGGGAUGACGGCCUUCGGGUUGUAAACCGCUUUCGCCUGUGACGAAGCGUGAGUGACGGUAAUGGGUAAAGAAGCACCGGCUAACUACGUG
Molecule: ribosomal RNA, 468 nt
Filed under: uncultured bacterium
Lineage: Bacteria
Description: partial 16S ribosomal RNA
Rfam family: Bacterial small subunit ribosomal RNA
Source: RNAcentral